Molecule: long non-coding RNA, 2014 nt
Organism: Populus nigra (black poplar)
Lineage: Eukaryota; Viridiplantae; Streptophyta; Magnoliopsida; Malpighiales; Salicaceae
Exons: 3
Source: RefSeq, a predicted model, not a curated record
UCGACCUGUUAAUUAGUGGAUUGGGAUCUGAAAGAUCAUGAGUGGAGUGAUGCAUCCAUCUUCAUAUCUAGUUCUAAGAACCCAUAUCAUAGACAAGCGGAGAAGUUUAACCUUGUGAAUGGGCUGAAUACUACAUAGACUUGAGUUUUUGGAUAGAACUCUUCGAGUUUGCCGAUACUCUACGGGUCAGGGGAUUCAUUGGUUGGUUUUAGUGAUGUUGUUUAUGAUGAGAUAGAUAAGAAUUUGUAUUAUUUUAUUUUGAUGAUGAUUAUGAUAGUAAAUAUGGCAUAAAUAAUGACAGUAAUGAAAGGGAUGAUGCCAUCAAAAGUGUCUUCAUUGACAAGCUAGUGGUGUCAUUCGUGUAUAAGGCGAUGAAUUCAGGCAUAUGACUAAAGCUUUGAGAUUGAGCACACGAAUGAGAGAUCUCUUCAAUGGGAAAGGAGGUUUAAUAGAAGGGUGCAUAGAGAGAAUUGAUCGUCCUGGACUUGAUUUUGUGGCAUUGGAAGAUCCAAAAUUAGUUCCUCCGAUCAGAGCACACAAAGUGGCAUGUAUUUGCAGCAUCUGGUACUCUAAAGGGUGAUCGAGCUGAAUGGCUUGUUGAGAAAUGCGCGGUAUGUCUUAAAUGCACAAAUGAAAAACAUUUCUGCUUAAAAUUAUAGCCAUUUUAUUCCCUUUUCUUUUGUAAUUGUUGAGUCCUCUAAUUUUCUCUCCUUGGGAACUUGGAGCCCAUAGUGUGACCCCUCUGCUGACAGAACGUUCUCUAUCAAUCUCAGAAAACCGAGUAGACAGGCUGUGACAUGUCAUUUUGGCAGCAAGUACAAAACAGAGUAAAUAAUUGCUCCUGUGAUAAAUUUUCCUUGGGAUGUGGAGGUUCUUAUCAAUUUAAUUUUGACUCUCUGAUAAAAAGUAAUUUGUUAAUUUUCUUUUAACCUUACCUCUAUACUAGGUCAGCAGUUGAGUGAAAUAAUUCUAAAUCCUCCAACCAAAGUUGUUGGCCUUUUGCCUCUAAUGAAGAUGACCAGCAUCUUGGCUCAAGGAGGAUAGAUUUAACAGUGUUUGUGGAGCUUUUUUGGUGGGUUAAGAUAUUCCAGUGCUAUAACUGAAGGGAAAGGGAACCAUCCAAGUCAGAUUCCUUACCACUCAUUCCAUGAGUUUGAUGUUUUUUUUUACUCUUUUUUUUUUUAUCAAAUUCCUGAUGACAUUGGCGAAGACCAUGAUCAAGGCCUGAUAACAUAACACAACCUGUCAUAUGUCCCAUAAAUACCCAGGAUUUAGUAAAUCAUAAAAGAGUAACUAGACCAAAUCAGCCAUAAAUCAAAUCCUGGACAACAAUCAAGAACACUCUCUCUUUGAAGAAAAUGCAUUGUUUAUUGGUCAGGAGUUGGCCAUCUCCUACACUGACCACGGGAAAAGGAAUGUUUGAAAAUACGUGGACAUUCUUCUCUUCAUCUAUCCCUACUAUGCUGAGCUUGACCUUUUUCUUUUUUUUUGGGUUAUAUAGCUUGCCCAGUCAAAGCUAUGUUUUCUGGCAACAGCAGAAGCUACUCCUGUUGUUAGUGUAUUGACUUCAUCAAGAAAAGAAUCAAGUGGAUUGACGAUAGUGGGACCGGAAGGGGGUUAGUACACUUCCUAUGUUAGUUCCUAUUCAUCAUAAUUUUCUUCUGCUGCAUGUAUGGGCGAAAGCUACACGGUAUGUUAGUGUAUAUUAUUUUUGUUUUUAUUUUAAAUAUGUUGUCAGUUGGUUUAAUUUGUUGGGAGGAGCUUAUGUUUUUUUUAAAAAAUAUUGAUUGAAUUAGUGUCUGUAUCUCGUGGCAUAAUAACUCUGUUAUGUUGUGAUGGUUGCCAUGCACUGUUCCCUCAGUCCCCUUCACCCGUUUAUUUCAAAAAGUUAUCCCAUGGCUUCUAUGUGUUUCAGAUUUCACUACAUUAUAAAAUGUAUAAGAUAUGUCAUGAGAUAUAUGUACUUCAAUGAUUCUAAGAUAUGUCAUGAGAUAUAUGUACUUCAAUGAUUCUU